This 160-nucleotide small RNA is filed under the name Arabidopsis thaliana (thale cress). Its description in RNAcentral is "ATSL255580". Lineage: Eukaryota; Viridiplantae; Streptophyta; Magnoliopsida; Brassicales; Brassicaceae. The record is from RNAcentral.
AAUUUUUAUUGUGAGAUCGUGAGUAUGAAAAUAACAACAAUUACUUGUUUGUGUAUUAAAUUGCACGGUUUUAUUACUUCGUGUAUUUACUUUCCAACCAAAAACAAUUGGGUAUUAAACGUCCAAAUAAAAAUUAGUUGAAGUUUUUUUUGGGUUUUUU